AGAGUUUGAUCAUGGCUCAGGAUUAACGCUAGCGGCAGGCCUAAUACAUGCAAGUCGAACGGGAUUUCGGGUAGCAAUAUCUGAAUGAGAGUGGCGCACGGGUGCGUAACACGUAUGCAACCUACCUAUGACUGGGGGAUAGCCUUCCGAAAGGAAGAUUAAUACCGCAUAAAGAUCAGGAGAAGCAUUUCUUCAGGUCCAAACCUCAGGGGGUCAUAGAUGGGCAUGCGUCCGAUUAGCUAGUUGGUGAGGUAACGGCUCACCAAGGCUACGAUCGGUAGGGGGUCUGAGAGGAUGAUCCCCCACACUGGUACUGAGACACGGACCAGACUCCUACGGGAGGCAGCAGUGGGGAAUAUUGCACAAUGGGCGGAAGCCUGAUGCAGCAACGCCGCGUGAGGGAUGACGGCCUUCGGGUUGUAAACCUCUUUUAGCAGGGAAGAAGCGAAAGUGACGGUACCUGCAGAAAAAGCGCCGGCUAACUACGUGCCAGCAGCCGCGGUAAUUC
RNAcentral lists this ribosomal RNA (508 nucleotides) under uncultured bacterium. Its description in RNAcentral is "bacterial SSU rRNA". It matches the Rfam family "Bacterial small subunit ribosomal RNA", at positions 8 to 526 of the family's 1533-position model. The record is from RNAcentral.